This 477-nucleotide ribosomal RNA is filed under the name uncultured bacterium. RNAcentral describes it as "bacterial SSU rRNA". It matches the Rfam family "Bacterial small subunit ribosomal RNA", at positions 28 to 507 of the family's 1533-position model. The record is from RNAcentral.
GAUGAACGCUGGCGGCGUGCCUCAAACAUGCAAGUCGAGCGAGGCUAUGAGUUACCGCAAGGUAAGGCAUAGCCUAGCGGCGAACGGGUGAGUAACACGUGGGUAACCUACCUGGAAGACAGGGAUAACGAUUCGAAAGGGUCGCUAAUACCUGAUAAUAUCCAUCUGCCGGAUGGCGGAGGGAAGAAAGGGGAACCCGCUUUCAGAUGGGCCCGCGUCCCAUCAGCUAGUUGGUAAGGUAAAGGCUUACCAAGGCGACGACGGGUAGCCGGUCUGAGAGGAUGUACGGCCACACUGGGACUGAGAUACGGCCCAGACUCCUACGGGAGGCAGCAGUUGGGAAUCUUAGGCAAUGGACGAAAGUCUGACCUAGCGACGCCGCGUGAGGGAAGAAGGCCUUGGGUUGUAAACCUCUGUCAGUGGGGGAAGAAGGAGGUGACGGUACCCCAAGGAGGAACGCCCCUGACUAACUACGUG